Molecule: ribosomal RNA, 423 nt
Filed under: uncultured cyanobacterium
Lineage: Bacteria; Bacillati; Cyanobacteriota
Description: bacterial SSU rRNA
Rfam family: Bacterial small subunit ribosomal RNA
Source: RNAcentral
GGAAUUUUCCGCAAUGGGCGAAAGCCUGACGGAGCAAUACCGCGUGAGGGAGGAAGGCUCUUGGGUUGUAAACCUCUUUUCUCAGGGAAUAAGCAAGUGAAGGUACCUGAGGAAUCAGCAUCGGCUAACUCCGUGCCAGCAGCCGCGGUAAUACGGAGGAUGCAAGCGUUAUCCGGAAUGAUUGGGCGUAAAGCGUCCGUAGGUGGCUGUGUGUGUCUAUUGUUAAAGAGUUUGGCUCAACCAAAUAAGGGCGGUAGAAACUACACAGCUAGAGUGCGUUCGGGGCAGAGGGAAUUCCUGGUGUAGCGGUGAAAUGCGUAGAGAUCAGGAAGAACACCGGUGGCGAAAGCGCUCUGCUAGGCCGCAACUGACACUGAGGGACGAAAGCUAGGGGAGCGAAUGGGAUUAGAUACCCCUGUAGUC